GCAGCAUUACACGAUACCUACUAUGUGAUCAACGGACAGAGGCAGUAUUACGCGAUAUCCACUAUGUGAUCAACGGACAGAGGCAGUAUUACGCGAUAUCCAUCAUGUGAUCCAGGGACAGAGGCAGUAUUACGCGAUAUCCACUAUAUGAUCCAGGGACAGAGGCAGUAUUACGCGAUAUCCACUAUGUAAUCAACGGACAGAGGCAGUAUUACGCGAUAUCCAUCAGGUGAUCCAGGGACAGAGGCAGUAUUACGCGAUAUCCCUUGGGCAGAGGCUGUAUUACGCAAUACCCAUCACACAACAUUUACUUUAU
RNAcentral lists this unclassified non-coding RNA (316 nucleotides) under Melitaea cinxia (Glanville fritillary). RNAcentral's name for it is "misc RNA ENSMCXG00005017054.1". Lineage: Eukaryota; Metazoa; Arthropoda; Insecta; Lepidoptera; Nymphalidae. The record is from RNAcentral.